RNAcentral lists this unclassified non-coding RNA (31 nucleotides) under Mus musculus (house mouse). RNAcentral describes it as "oocyte_clustered_small_RNA7569". The record is from RNAcentral. Lineage: Eukaryota; Metazoa; Chordata; Mammalia; Rodentia; Muridae.
UAAACUAGCCAGUAUACCCUUGCAUAAAUAC